This 492-nucleotide ribosomal RNA is filed under the name uncultured bacterium. RNAcentral's name for it is "partial 16S ribosomal RNA". It matches the Rfam family "Bacterial small subunit ribosomal RNA", at positions 29 to 507 of the family's 1533-position model. The record is from RNAcentral.
AGUGAACGCUGGCGGUAGGCCUAACACAUGCAAGUCGAACGGCAGCACAGUAAGAGCUUGCUCUUACGGGUGGCGAGUGGCGGACGGGUGAGGAAUACAUCGGAAUCUACUUUUUCGUGGGGGAUAACGUAGGGAAACUUACGCUACUACCGCAUACGACCUACGGGUGAAAGCAGAGGAUCUUCGGACCUUGCGCGAUUGAAUGAGCCGAUGUCGGAUUAGCUUGUUGGCGGGGUAAAGGCCCACCAAGGCGACGAUCCGUAGCUGGUCUGAGAGGAUGAUCAGCCACACUGGAACUGAGACACGGUCCAGACUCCUACGGGAGGCAGCAGUGGGGAAUAUUGGACAAUGGGCGCAAGCCUGAUCCAGCCAUACCGCGUGGGUGAAGAAGGCCUUCGGGUUGUAAAGCCCUUUUGUUGGGAAAGAAAAGCAGCAGGUUAAUACCCCGCUGUUCUGACGGUACCCAAAGAAUAAGCACCGGCUAACUUCGUG